Molecule: ribosomal RNA, 423 nt
Filed under: uncultured Actinomycetes bacterium
Lineage: Bacteria; Bacillati; Actinomycetota; Actinomycetes
Description: bacterial SSU rRNA
Rfam family: Bacterial small subunit ribosomal RNA
Source: RNAcentral
GAAGAAGCACCGGCCAACUACGUGCCAGCAGCCGCGGUAAUACGUAAGGUGCGAGCGUUGUCCGGAAUUAUUGGGCGUAAAGAGCUCGUAGGUGGUUUGUCGCGUUGUUCGUGAAAUCUCACGGCUUAACUGUGAGCGUGCGGGCGAUACGGGCAGACUGGAGUACUGCAGGGGAGACUGGAAUUCCUGGUGUAGCGGUGGAAUGCGCAGAUAUCAGGAGGAACACCGGUGGCGAAGGCGGGUCUCUGGGCCGAUACUGACGCUGAGGAGCGAAAGCGUGGGGAGCGAACAGGAUUAGAUACCCUGGUAGUCCACGCUGUAAACGAUGGAUGCUAGCCGUCAGCAAGCAUGCUUGUUGGUGGCGCAGCUAACGCAUUAAGCAUCCCGCCUGGGGAGUACGGCCGCAAGGUUAAAACUCAAGAG